ACGAACGCUGGCGGCGUGCUUCACACAUGCAAGUCGAACGGAAAGGCCCUGCUUUUGUGGGGUGCUCGAGUGGCGAACGGGUGAGUAACACGUGAGUAACCUGCCCUUGACUUUGGGAUAACUUCAGGAAACUGGGGCUAAUACCGGAUAGGAGCUCCUGCUGCAUGGUGGGGGUUGGAAAGUUUCGGCGGUUGGGGAUGGACUCGCGGCUUAUCAGCUUGUUGGUGGGGUAGUGGCUUACCAAGGCUUUGACGGGUAGCCGGCCUGAGAGGGUGACCGGCCACAUUGGGACUGAGAUACGGCCCAGACUCCUACGGGAGGCAGCAGUGGGGAAUAUUGCACAAUGGGCGGAAGCCUGAUGCAGCAACGCCGCGCGCGGGAUGACGGCCUUCGGGUUGUAAACCGCUUUCGCCUGUGACGAAGCGUGAGUGACGGUAAUGGGUAAAGAAGCACCGGCUAACUACGUG
RNAcentral lists this ribosomal RNA (467 nucleotides) under uncultured bacterium. RNAcentral's name for it is "partial 16S ribosomal RNA". It matches the Rfam family "Bacterial small subunit ribosomal RNA", at positions 29 to 507 of the family's 1533-position model. The record is from RNAcentral.